Molecule: long non-coding RNA, 2961 nt
Filed under: Sus scrofa (pig)
Lineage: Eukaryota; Metazoa; Chordata; Mammalia; Artiodactyla; Suidae
Description: lncRNA (ENSSSCG00045001910.1)
Source: RNAcentral
GCUAUUUCUUUGGGCCACUCCCGUGGCAUAUGGAGGUUCCCAGGCUAGGGGUCGAAUUGGAACUGUAGCCACCGGCCUACACCAGAGCCACAGCGACGCGGGAUCCGAGCUGCAUCUGCGACCCACACCACAGCUCACAGCAACGCGGGAUCGUUAACCCACUGAGCAAGGGCAGGGACCGAACCUGCAACCUCAUGGUUCCUAGUCGGAUUUGUUUACCACUGCGCCACGACGGGAAUUCCGAUCUUGCUAUUCUUAUAUAAAUCUUACUUUCAUCCUGAAAUGAGACUCUUCCAGUAUGGAGACCUCGUCUACAAAUUAUCCAUGACCAAAAUCAUUAUACUUGAAAAAUGAAGUCCAAACUAGUGUGUUUGAAUUACAGCAUGAAGAAAGUCAUUCAAAGGCCCCCUUUCCAGGUUUCUAGUGUCUAAAAGCCUGAUUUACCCAAAUGCUCCAUUCAGGGAAAACACGGCAUGAUCCAAGAGCUAAAGGCACAAGGUUGUUUUCAGUUUUUAGUUUUUGCUGUUGCUUUUAUUUUUAUAGGAAGUAUAGUGCAAGCAAAACAGAUACAACUAUGUGUAUAAUAGAUAAAAUGAUGGAUCAAAAUGUACUCUUUUUAGAGGAAAAUUUUCUACUAUACAGUUAUACAUAUACAUAUAUGUAUUUUUUCUCAUGUGAUCUUCCAUCAUGUUCUAUCACAAGUGAUCGAAUAUAAUUCCGUGUGCAUACAGCAGCACCUCAUUGCAUAUCCACUCCAAAUCCAAUAGUUUGCAUCUGCUAACCCUAAACUCCCAGUCCACCCUACAUCCUCCAUCUCCCCCUCAGCAACCACAAGUUUGUUCUCCAUGUCCAUAAGUUUGUUUCUGUUCUGUAGAUAGGUUCAUUUGUGCCAUAUUUUAUUUUAUUUAUUAAUUUUUCUUUUGCUUUUUAGGACUGCAGCCAAUGGCAUAUGUAAGUUCCCAGGCUAGGGGUCGAAUUGGAGCUACAGCUGCCACCCUACACCACAGCCACAGCAAUGACAGAUAUGAGUUGCAUCUGUGACCAACACUGCAGCUCACAGCAACACUGGAUCCUUAACCCAGUGAUCAGGGCCAGGGAUUGAACCUGCAUCCUCAUGGAUACAAGUCAAGUUUGUUAUGGCUAAGCCAUAAUAUGAACUCCCAUUUGUGCCAUAUUUUAGAUUCCACAUAUAAGUGAUAUCAUAUGGUGUUUGUCUUUCUCUUUCUGACUUACUUCACUUAGUAUGAGAAUCUCCAGUUCCAUCCAUGUUGCUACAAAUGGCAUUAUUUUGUUCCUUUUUAUGGCUGUGUGGUAUUCCAUUGUGUAUAUGUACCACAUCUUCUUAAUCCAUUCAUCUGUCUGUGGACACUUAGGUUAUUUCUGUGUCUUGGCUAUUGUGAAUAGGCUGCAAUGAACAUAGGGGUAAUGUAUCUUUUUCAAUGAAAGUUUUGUCCCGAUAUAUGCCUAGGUGUGGGAUUGCUGGAUUAUAUGGCAGUUCUAUAUUUAGUUUUCUGAGGUACCUCCAUACUGUUUUCCAUAGUGUUGUAUCCAUAUACCUUCCUUGGAGCUACAGCUGCUGGCCUAUACCACAGCCACAGCAAUGCCAGAUAUGAGCUGCAUCUGUAGGAAAGUUCCCUUUUCUCCACGCUCUCUCCAGCAUUCGUUAUUUGUAGACUUAUUAUUAAUAGCCAUUCUUACUGGUGUGAGGUGGUAUCUUACAGUUUUUUUUUUGCAUUUCUCUAAUAAUUAGUGAUGUUGAGCAUUUUUUCAUGUGUCUGUUGGCCAUCUGUAGAUCUUCUUUGGAGAAAUGUUUGUUCAGGUCUUCUGCCCAUUUUUCAAUUGAGUUGUUUGUUUUUUUGCUAUUAAGUAGUAUGAGUUAUUUGUAUAUUUUGGAGAUUAAGCCCUUGUUGGUUGCAUUAUUUGCAGCUAUUUUCUCCCAUUCUGUAGGUUGUCUUUUAUGGUUUCCUUUGUUAUGCAAAAGCUUCUAAGUUUGAUUAGGUCCCAUUGGUUUAUUUUUGUUUUUAUUUCUAUUGCCUUGGGAGAUUGGCCUAAGAAAACAUUUGUAGAGUUGAUGUCGGAGAAUGUUUUGCCUAUGUUCUCUUCUAGGAAUUUUAUGGUAUCUUUUCUUAUGUUUAAGUCUUUAAUCCAUUUUGAGUUUAUUUUUGUGAUUUUUGUGCAUGUGAGGGGUGUGUUCUAGUUUCAUUGAUGUGUAUGUGGCUGUCCAGUUUUCCUAGCACCGCUUGCUGAAGAGAAGGUCUUUUGCCCAUUUUGUAUUAUUGCCUCCUUUGUCAAAGAUUAAUUGACCAUAGGUGUCUGGCUUUAUUUCUGGGUUCUCUGUUCUGUUCCAUUGGUCCAUAUAUCUGUUUUUGUACCAGUACUACAUUGUCUUGAUAACUGUAGCUUUCUAAUAUUGUCAGAAGUCUGGGAGAGUCAUGCCUCCUGCUUGUUUCCACCCCUCCCCCAUGAUUGCUUUGGCAAUUCUGGGUCUUUUAUUGUUCCAUAUAAAAUUUUGGAUUGUUUGUUUGAGUUUUGUGAAAAAUGUCAUUGUUAAUUUGAUAGGGAUUGUAUUAAAUCUGUAGGUUUCUUUGGGCAGUAUGGCCAUUUUAACAAUAUUAAUUCUUCACAUCCAGGAGCAUGGAAUAUCUUUCCAUUUCUUUAAAUCCUCUUUAAUUUCCUUGAUUAAUGUUAUUUAUUUAUGUUUGUUUUAGGGCUACACCUGUGGCAUAUGGAAGUUCCCAGGCCAGGGGUCUAAUACGAGCUGCUGCUGCUGUUCUAUGCCACAGCCAUAGCAAUGCAAAAUUUAAACUACAUCUGGGACCUAUGCCACAGCUUAUGGCAAUGCCAGAUCCUUAACUCACUGAGCAGGGCCAGGGAUACUAAUUAGGUUUGUUACUGCUGAGCCACAGUAGGAACUCCCUUGAUUAAUGUUUUUUUAGUUCUCAGCAUAUAAGUCUUUCACCU